RNAcentral lists this ribosomal RNA (253 nucleotides) under uncultured bacterium. RNAcentral's name for it is "partial 16S ribosomal RNA". It matches the Rfam family "Bacterial small subunit ribosomal RNA", at positions 524 to 776 of the family's 1533-position model. The record is from RNAcentral.
UACGUAGGGUGCAAGCGUUAAUCGGAAUUACUGGGCGUAAAGGGCGCGCAGGCGGCCUUUCAAGUGAGAUGUGAAAUCCCCGGGCUUAACCUGGGAAGUGCAUUUCAGACUGCAAGGCUAGAGUGCUUUAGAGAGGGAUGGAAUUCCACGUGUAGCAGUGAAAUGCGUAGAGAUGCGGAGGAAUACCGAAGGCGAAGGCAAUCCCCUGGGACUGGACUGACGCUCAUGCGCGAAAGCGUGGGGAGCAAACAGG